CAAUAGCGUAUAUUAAAGUUGUUGCAGUUAAAAAGCUCGUAGUUGGAUUUCUGGUCGGAAACUCCUGUCCUCUGAUGAGCGUACAAGUGCGUCCUACCAUCCUUCUGUUAACCUUUAAGGCUUUCGCGGCUUUCUAGGGGCUCAGAUAUUUUACCUUGAGAAAAUUAGAGUGUUUCAGGCAGGCUAGCGCCGGAAUACAUUAGCAUGGAAUAAUGGAAUAGGACUUUUGCCUCUUCUGUUGGUCAUGAGGCUCGAGUAAUGAUUAAUAGGGAUAGUUGGGGGCAUUAGUACUUAACUGUCAGAGGUGAAAUUCUCGGAUUUGUUAAAGACUAACUUAUGCGAAAGCAUUUGCCAAGGAUGUUUUCAUUAA
This 370-nucleotide ribosomal RNA is filed under the name uncultured eukaryote. RNAcentral describes it as "partial 18S ribosomal RNA". It matches the Rfam family "Eukaryotic small subunit ribosomal RNA", at positions 592 to 976 of the family's 1831-position model. The record is from RNAcentral.